GAUAAGUUUUAUUUUGGCUUUAAAUUUUAAUUUAUAAAUCAAUUUAUAUGUAAGUUUUAGCGUAAUUAAUUUUUUAGAUGGGGAUUAUUUUUAUGUAAGAAAAGCAAUAACUAGUUUUGUACAAUAAAGGAGAUUUUGAUACAAAAAUUUAUAUAAACAUUGGCUAAAUUUGUGCCAGCAGCCGUGGUUAAACAGAUGAUGUGAUUAAAUUUUUUUAGGUUAGAUAAUAAACAUGAUAAAAUUAUUAGUUAACUUUAAAUUAUUUUUAGUAAGUGAAAUUAGAAAUUUAAAUUAAGUUAAUUUUAAAUUUGUAAAGUUAUGAAAUUUCAUUAUUAAACUAGGAUUAGAUACCCUAUUAUAAGAAGUGUAAAUUUAGAUACCAGAGUAUUAUCAGUUAUGUUCUUGAAAUUUUAAAGAUUUGACGGUAUUUUAAGCCUAUUUAGAGGAACCUGUUCUAUAAUUGAUGAUCCACGAUUAAUUGUACUUUAUUUAUUAGUUUGUAUACCGUCGUUAUUUGUAUGUCUUUAAAAAGUAAAUAAUGUUCAUAAGUUAUAAUUUAUAAAAUAAAUCAGAUCAAGGUACAGUUUAUAAUAAAGAAGAAAUGGGUUACAAUAAAUUUAUUUUUAUGGAUUUUAUAAUUAACAUUAUAAAUGAAAUUGGAUUUAAUAGUAAAUUAUUUAAGUUAAAAUAUUUGAUUAAAGCUCUGAAAUAUGUACAUAUCGCCCGUCGUUUCCAUUGAAAAUUAAAUUGGAAUAAGUCGUAACAUAGUAGGUGUACCGGAAGGUGUACCUGGUUAAAC
This 799-nucleotide non-coding RNA is filed under the name Eurysternus caribaeus. The record is from RNAcentral. Lineage: Eukaryota; Metazoa; Arthropoda; Insecta; Coleoptera; Scarabaeidae.